Molecule: long non-coding RNA, 168 nt
Organism: Bombus impatiens (common eastern bumble bee)
Lineage: Eukaryota; Metazoa; Arthropoda; Insecta; Hymenoptera; Apidae
Exons: 3
Source: RefSeq, a predicted model, not a curated record
UGGCAGAGAGGAACGUAUAACAGAGACAGUGAAAGAUACAGGCCCGGAGGAGGAAACGGAUAAAACGUGGGCGUUGAGUGAUUGUUGUCGGUGCUAGUUUCCAUUGGGAGUCAUGAGAGAUACCAGCGAUAUGAUGGAGGACUCCUUGUCCGAGGAGAUGAUGCCGGA